This 1056-nucleotide ribosomal RNA is filed under the name Astrocystis mirabilis. Its description in RNAcentral is "SSU rRNA". It matches the Rfam family "Eukaryotic small subunit ribosomal RNA", at positions 45 to 1112 of the family's 1831-position model. The record is from RNAcentral. Lineage: Eukaryota; Fungi; Ascomycota; Sordariomycetes; Xylariales; Xylariaceae.
UAAGCCAUGCAUGUCUAAGUAUAAGCAAUUAUACGGCGAAACUGCGAAUGGCUCAUUAAAUCAGUUAUCGUUUAUUUGAUAGUACCUUACUACUUGGAUAACCGUGGUAAUUCUAGAGCUAAUACAUGCUAAAAAUCCCGACUCACGGAGGGAUGUAUUUAUUAGAUUAAAAACCAAUGCCCCUCGGGGCUUCUUGGUGAUUCAUAAUAACUUCUCGAAUCGCAUGGCCUUGCGCCGGCGAUGGUUCAUUCAAAUUUCUGCCCUAUCAACUUUCGAUGGCAGGGUCUUGGCCUGCCAUGGUUACAACGGGUAACGGAGGGUUAGGGCUCGACCCCGGAGAAGGAGCCUGAGAAACGGCUACUACAUCCAAGGAAGGCAGCAGGCGCGCAAAUUACCCAAUCCCGACACGGGGAGGUAGUGACAAUAAAUACUGAUACAGGGCUCUUUUGGGUCUUGUAAUUGGAAUGAGUACAAUUUAAAUCCCUUAACGAGGAACAAUUGGAGGGCAAGUCUGGUGCCAGCAGCCGCGGUAAUUCCAGCUCCAAUAGCGUAUAUUAAAGUUGUUGCAGUUAAAAAGCUCGUAGUUGAACCUUGGGCCUGGCUGGCCGGUCCGCCUCACCGCGUGCACUGGUUCGGCCGGGCCUUUCCCUCUGGGGAGCCCUAUGCCCUUCACUGGGUGUAGUGGGGAACCAGGACUUUUACUGUGAAAAAAUUAGAGUGUUCAAAGCAGGCCUAUGCUCGAAUACAUCAGCAUGGAAUAAUAGAAUAGGACGUGUGGUUCUAUUUUGUUGGUUUCUAGGACCGCCGUAAUGAUUAAUAGGGACAGUCGGGGGCAUCAGUAUUCAAUUGUCAGAGGUGAAAUUCUUGGAUUUAUUGAAGACUAACUACUGCGAAAGCAUUUGCCAAGGAUGUUUUCAUUAAUCAUGAACGAAAGUUAGGGGAUCGAAGACGAUCAGAUACCGUCGUAGUCUUAACCAUAAACUAUGCCGACUAGGGAUCGGACGAUGUUAUUUUUUGACUCGUUCGGCACCUUACGAGAAAUCAAAGUCUUUGGGU